AAUCUGGUUUUGAUUCUUCCGACCCAAGAGUAAUAAGACUAGUAUCAUUAGCAGCACAGAAAUUUGUCUCCGAUAUAGCUAAUGAUGCUUUACAACAUUGUAAAAUGAAAGCCUCAGGUCAAAGUUCAAAGAAACAAGGAAAGG
Long non-coding RNA from Patella vulgata (common limpet), 144 nucleotides. RefSeq lists it as uncharacterized. The transcript is spliced from 2 exons. Lineage: Eukaryota; Metazoa; Mollusca; Gastropoda; Patellidae. The record is from RefSeq and is a predicted model, not a curated record.